Molecule: ribosomal RNA, 253 nt
Filed under: uncultured bacterium
Lineage: Bacteria
Description: partial 16S ribosomal RNA
Rfam family: Bacterial small subunit ribosomal RNA
Source: RNAcentral
UUCGUAGGUGGCAAGCGUUGUCCGGAUUUACUGGGCGUAAAGGAUGCGUAGGUGGAUAUGCAAGUCAGAUGUGAAAUACCCGGGCUUAACUCGGGUGCUGCAUUUGAAACUAUAUAUCUAGAGUGCAGGAGAGGUAAGUGGAAUUCCUAGUGUAGCGGUGAAAUGCGUAGAGAUUAGGAAGAACACCAGUGGCGAAGGCGACUUACUGGACUGUAACUGACACUGAGGCAUGAAAGCGUGGGGAGCAAACAGG